GGAUUUGAUCCCGGGUCUCCAGGAUCACGCCCUGAGCCAAAGGCAGGCGCCAAAGCGCUGCGCCACCCAGGGAUCCCCAGAUUACAUUCCUAAUGGAGAAUAUUUGUGGAAAAUAUUUGCCCCCAUUUGUACGUUGAAAUUUUAACACCCAAAGUUGAUUGUCUCAGGAGGUGGAGCUUUCGGAGGUGCUUGGGUCACCGAGGUGGAGCCUUCAUGAAGAGACCCCACAGAGCUUCCCAGCUCUUUCCUCUAAGCGAGGAUACCCCAACUCUGAGCCAGAAGAGAUUCUAGAACAUGACCAUGCUGCUGCCUUGCUCUUGAACUUCCCAGCUUCCAGAAUUGUGAGCAGUAAGGUUUUGUUGUUUAUAAGCUACCCAGUCUGUGCUUUUUCGUUAUAGCAGCACAAACUGAGACAAUAUCAAAUGGAUUAGAUCAAAUAAUUAUUCUUUCUUUUGGUGGCACAUGACCGACUCCUUGUCAGUUUCUAGGAGAUUAUUUCAUCAGGACUUUGCUGAUACCACAGUCUUUGGCAUGACUUACCAGCUCAUUGCUGAUCCCAGGAAAAGACUGAGUGCCUACAAAUGAACAGGUCACAGAUCUUCUGCCCUAUGGGAAGACAGGCAGGUGGUUAUCAUGGACCCACCUCUUGGAAAGAGAGGAGGCAGAGAGGAAGAAAGAGGGCUGAGUCCACAUGCCUACCCAGCUGCAUAAAAUAA
RNAcentral lists this long non-coding RNA (716 nucleotides) under Vulpes vulpes (red fox). Its description in RNAcentral is "lncRNA (ENSVVUG00000011876.1)". Lineage: Eukaryota; Metazoa; Chordata; Mammalia; Carnivora; Canidae. The record is from RNAcentral.